Galleria mellonella (greater wax moth) is the source of this 1531-nucleotide long non-coding RNA. RefSeq lists it as uncharacterized. NCBI's taxonomy places the organism in Eukaryota, Metazoa, Arthropoda, Insecta, Lepidoptera, Pyralidae. The record is from RefSeq and is a predicted model, not a curated record. The transcript has 6 exons.
AAUCUGUGCCUAUGUCACAAAUAAUAUAAUACUACUAUGUCAAUCAAAAACAGAAAGAUGUUCUGAAAUCAUGAGAAAGGGAGCUGAAUAAACGACACAAGGUGCUGAAUAUUGAAAGAUGAACACUUGAAAAAGAUGGUGUAAAGUUGAACCCUUUGUGAUUGUCAAUAUUCACAAAAAUAUAGCAUUUUUAUUCGGUUAAAGUGAUAAUUUAGACGUAGCCGACCAAAACGUAUACCACAAAUAGUUGAGUAAAACGUUUUUCAAAAAGACAUUUGCAUUGCAGAACCAUAGUGUGCUGUGUACUGAUUUGAACAUCCAGAGUUUUAAGAAAUACCUGGGUACAGUAAUGUCUCUCCCAGGGUAGACUUGACACAUUUAUUAGAGAAUUAACAUCUAACGUCACCCAGGACACAUUUACAUCAGAACACUCAUUGUGGGCGACAAAGGAAACCAUGAAUGGAAAUUGGAAACAUAUGUAUAUUAGCAAAAGGAGCUUAAAGGACUAGGGCUGUGACGGAAAGCCAAAAGGAAACAAUACAGAUUCAUUUCAAAUUUGAAUUUGAGACAGUAUUAAAACACGCUGGUGCCUCCAAUAUUGGCACAACCCCUCCCCAAGAUGGAACUGAUAAUCUUACUCACAGGAGGAACACAACGCUAUUAAAAUAGCAUUGUUUGGCUGAGAACUUCUGCAAGGUGGAAGUCCUUCCCCAGGUGGGCGAUUCUAUUUAUGAGCGAGAGUCCUGCUGUGCCCUACUUCUCUUAUAUACUUAAGAAUUUGACCUCUCGCACAGGAGAAAGUAGACAAUCAUUACAAUACACAACAGACAUGUUUUUGGAAUACUGUUAAACCAAAACCAACAAGGAUGGACUAUAUUGGAUUGCCAUUAAGUUUUAGCAAGACAACCAAUAUUUACACCAUUAAAGGCACCAGCAAUAACAAAGAAAAUGGCAAUCACUGGAUUGAUUGUGGCUAAAGAUAUUAUUAUUUUAAGAGCUUUUUUUACCUUCUUCAGAUAUAUAAGUCCUAUUGUAUCCUGAACUGAUUGACAAAUAUUUUUCCGUUGCUGAAUGAUUUCUACAGUGGCUAAAUUGAUUUAAUGUUUCUAGGAAUAACCUCGGCAGGGAGCUCCACAUUCCACAGCGUGAGCGUUUGCAGUAGAAAACUCCCCUAAAACUACACUGUAAUCAUUUGGGUUCCAGUGUCUAAGGAUGAAUUCCCUGUCGAUGGCGAAUAAUGCGAUGGUAAAAGCUAUCUGUGGGCAUUAUUUCGAAUAAAUACCUACAAUUCGUUAUACUAGUACUAGAUCACACAAAGGGAAGCAAAGUGUCGCCUUAGACUCAAGAACUACUUGUAAACAUAAAGUCGUCAACAAUUAUCAUUCUUAAUCAAGAUUUUGCAGAAAAGGGAAUAAGUUGUAUAGGAAUAUGAGGAGUCUAGUUGAAAAUCGUUAAGCAAUAUAUUUACCCAACUCCAAAUAUAUCCCAAUCUGCCUAUUUAUAGUGUGUAAAGAUUGGUAAAUGUUUGCCA